This is a long non-coding RNA of Venturia canescens, 522 nucleotides long. RefSeq lists it as uncharacterized. The record is from RefSeq and is a predicted model, not a curated record. The transcript is spliced from 3 exons. Lineage: Eukaryota; Metazoa; Arthropoda; Insecta; Hymenoptera; Ichneumonidae.
UUUGUCCUCUUGUAUGAAGCAUAAGAAAAUGUAACGAGCUCUCGACUCAAGAUUCUCAUUAUGCGAUACGAGAUGUUAUGCUAGAGUCAUGGCCGAGCUGGAUUUUUCAUCGAUUCAAUUGUGUAAGCGGCUAAAAAUAUCGGGAGGCGCCACCUCAAAAUAUGCUGGAGGUUACAUGCGCACUCCCGAGUAUUUAUAACUCGCUGGAACUUGAAGGACCAUAAAGUUACACGAGCUUUCGAAUGACGCUUGUCGCGCGAUAUUUCGGCCGCUCGUUGACUCGUUUACGAGCCAAACAAAUCCAAAAGUGGAUCACACCAAAGCUUUUGCUAUCGAGCAUCGCCCCCUCGACUAGAGCGUUAACGAGAUAUUACCAAGACUUAAAUACUUCAUCUAUCAAAACUUCAAGAAUAAAUAAUGCAGACCGCGGAGCAGCUUUUGUUUCAUCGUGCUUCAGAAAACGCGAUUUUUUAUGCUGCAAUUUAAAAAAAAAUGAAAUAAAUUCCUUUACAAAGUUUAAAU